CGAUCGGGGCUCUCCCCCCUCGGCUGUAGGAGGGUGGCGAGGCGUUGAUCAAUACGUGAAGAUAGAAUCCGAUGCUACCCAUCCAGCCAUUCCGCCCCCCUUCUGUCCCCCCCUUUCCCUCUUUGUCCCCUUGGUUCCUCUCCACCAUACGCCAGCUCGACAACGCUACAACCACCGCUGCCCGGUCCGGCUGAGGGUAUCGCGGCUCAAUCGACUGAUUUGUCACCCACGCAUCAUUUUCUUCGAAGGAAGGAGGGUGAAUUUCUGGGAGCUUACUGCGCUCGAGCCGUGUAACGUUUCCAUUGGUGAGGACAAGGUGCACGGUGAUGGAAACGUAAGAUGUUAAUGAGGCUGGAGGGUUGGCAUUCCUAGCGGCCUUCCAAGACUUCCAAAGAUUUCUCUCUGGUGACGUCAAGAUUCUAAUCCUCCAAGAGUCUUCGUUCAAUCUCGACGCGCAUGCCUACUCUAGUUUUUCUCAAGCACACAAUGGUGCGCGGUAGCUACCCCUCGUUCUGAAAUUAUUGUUGCUUGGGGUGGAGCAUACAGCGAGGGCGCGGCGUAUCAUCCAACAGAUAUGAUAACCCUCGGCUAUGGGUUGGUUCGACGCAACGGACCAAUAACGCUCCACGGUGUUUCAUUCAUAACCAUAUCAUAAGCAUAGCACCGCCCAUCGAUGAUAAUUCUCUCUUGCGUGUUACAAAACUGUAUUUCUUAAAUUUUACUUGUAGUUGCUGCAAACCUCAAUAUUUUUAUUUAUUCGUCAUAUGUAUAUAUCUCUUUUUAUAAAACAUAUUUCGAUUAGGCUUCUUUAAUUGGCUUUCAUUAAUACGAAAAUUUAAUUUACUCAUUUUAACUUUAAUGUAAAAAUAUGUGAUAUUCAACUUUUUAUAUUUUUUGUUAAUAUAAAGUAGGAAUCUCGUGCAUGUUCUAUGUAUAUGCGAAAGUAAGUCUAACAAGUAGAGCGAUAGUCUCACCCAACCUUGCCAAUUGCUAAAAUCGAAAUCAAUUUUCGAGAUUCUCUUUUUCAAAACGGAAGAAAAUGAGAAGGAGAAGAAAGAGAGAGAGAGAAAGCCUAAUCGUAAUCGGUACAAAAGUCUUCGUAUUACAAUUUUCUGAGAGUUCAAGAAGAUUGCGAACGUCAGGUACAGCAGAACGCUUAAGACGUUUGAGGAGCAAUGAGGGGGUGAAUUGCGGUGAAAACGUUAGGUCGAAGCAAAGGGGAUAUUCGGGGGUGGAAGGACGGAGGGGGAGAGGGGUUAAACCAAGAGAUAGAGGGUAGCUGUCACAACCACGCCAGCCGUUACUUCUGCUCCGGUAAAUUCUGUGCUCGCUAGAACAUCGAAUGAUGUUCUGCCGGUUCGUCUGCCUGCGAUCGGUUUCUCUGAUGCUUUAACGAAUACUUUAUCUUCCUUUUUCUCCUCGUCAUGGCGUCACGAAGUUACACAUACGUCUGAUAUUUUUCGUGAGAGAUCAUACGCAGCAUCGAGAAGAAGAAUAAAAUUACAAUCAUAAUGACACGGAGAAAAAUCACGCGUUGGCACGAUAUGAAAUCUUGAAUACGUAUGAAAUCCUCCGCCGACCGCGAACGAGCAUUCGAGAAGCAGGAGAAGCGAAGACGGCACACCGCGGGGGAAAAUUGCGGCGCGAUCUGUUUCAACCGUGGAUAUCAACCCCGCAUCAUCGCCCACGAGAGCGUU
RNAcentral lists this long non-coding RNA (1697 nucleotides) under Ooceraea biroi (clonal raider ant). RNAcentral describes it as "uncharacterized LOC105275670, transcript variant X1". The record is from RNAcentral. Lineage: Eukaryota; Metazoa; Arthropoda; Insecta; Hymenoptera; Formicidae.